Molecule: ribosomal RNA, 253 nt
Filed under: uncultured bacterium
Lineage: Bacteria
Description: partial 16S ribosomal RNA
Rfam family: Bacterial small subunit ribosomal RNA
Source: RNAcentral
UACAGAGGGGGCAAGCGUUGUUCGGAAUUACUGGGCGUAAAGGGCGCGUAGGCGGCCUUCUAAGUCGAACGUGAAAUCCCUGGGCUCAACCCAGGAACUGCGUCCGAUACUGGAAGGCUUGAAUCCGGGAGAGGGAUGCGGAAUUCCAGGUGUAGCGGUGAAAUGCGCAGAUAUCAGGAGGAACACCGGUGGCGAAGGCGGGUCUCUGGGCCGAUACUGACGCUGAGGAGCGAAAGCGUGGGGAGCGAACAGG